This 222-nucleotide long non-coding RNA is filed under the name Callithrix jacchus (white-tufted-ear marmoset). RNAcentral's name for it is "lncRNA (ENSCJAG00000065750.2)". Lineage: Eukaryota; Metazoa; Chordata; Mammalia; Primates; Cebidae. The record is from RNAcentral.
AUGAAGUUAAAUAAAACAACUAUACUCUUCCUUGAGGCAUUGAAAACCACACCCUGCAGGCAGAUGGGAGAAAGCCAAGAUUUCACCAUGGAUCCAAUGGAAAAUCCUGUUCUUCAAGUGAGAGAAAGCAAGUCACAAAACAGCAGCCACAAUUCCACAAGGUAAGUCACCUCAAAUUCACACGAUAAUACACUGUGUGCAUUGAUAAUGUACAGUAGCCAU